AAUUUAGUGCCUGAAUAAAGGGUUAUUUUGAUAGAAUAAAUCAAGUGAAAAACCACCUAAAUUA
RNAcentral lists this transfer RNA (64 nucleotides) under Hesperus amabilis. RNAcentral's name for it is "tRNA-Ile". The record is from RNAcentral. Lineage: Eukaryota; Metazoa; Arthropoda; Insecta; Coleoptera; Staphylinidae.